CUGGUUUACAGAGUGCGGGAGGAGGGGAGCAGACCGAGCAGUCUCAGCCCCUGGCAGCUGAACAGUUGCUGAAAAGCAUUUGUGUUUCUCAGGAACCUUACUUGGGAAACAUUUCCAGAGCAGCAUUGGAGUGGGAGAGGAAAGCUUGAAAGAGCAAAGACUUCAACACAAUGGAAACACAUUUUCUGACUGAAACAUUAUCUUUAAACAAAGGAAUUUUGUUUCUGCGAUUGGAGUCAUACAGCAUGGAAACUGGUCCAUCAGCUUAACUUGUCCAUGCUGACCAAGAUGCCCCAUCUAAACCAGCCAUUUAAUUGUCCUGAUCUCAAUUAUUGUAGAGGAAAUAAGCUGUCAGUUUACAUGCAUCCUGUAGUUCUUCAUGGAAGUCCGCAGUUGGCCCAAAAACUGAAGAAUCUGUGCACUCAUGAACAAACAUCUGUAGAUUUAAUUAUGUCUCAUGCCAAAUGACAUUGAAUAAACUACUCUGAAAUUAAA
This is a long non-coding RNA of Amblyraja radiata (thorny skate), 495 nucleotides long. RefSeq lists it as uncharacterized. The record is from RefSeq and is a predicted model, not a curated record. NCBI's taxonomy places the organism in Eukaryota, Metazoa, Chordata, Chondrichthyes, Rajiformes, Rajidae. The transcript is spliced from 2 exons.